RNAcentral lists this ribosomal RNA (327 nucleotides) under uncultured Bacillota bacterium. RNAcentral describes it as "bacterial SSU rRNA". It matches the Rfam family "Bacterial small subunit ribosomal RNA", at positions 28 to 351 of the family's 1533-position model. Lineage: Bacteria; Bacillati; Bacillota. The record is from RNAcentral.
GACGAACGCUGGCGGCGUGCCUAACACAUGCAAGUCGAGCGAUGAAGCCCUUCGGGGUGAAUUAGCGGCGGACGGGUGAGUAACACGUAGGUAACCUGCCUGUAAGAUCGGGAUAACUAUCGGAAACGGUAGCUAAUACCGGAUAACUUGUUUCUUCGCAUGAGGAGACACUGAAAGGCGGAGCAAUCUGCCACUUACGGAUGGACCUGCGGCGCAUUAGCUAGUUGGUGAGGUAAUGGCUCACCAAGGCGACGAUGCGUAGCCGACCUGAGAGGGUGAACGGCCACACUGGGACUGAGACACGGCCCAGACUCCUACGGGAGGCUG